CUGCUUCAGAAGCACAUACACUAAAAUUGGAACUAUACAAAGAUUAGCACGGCCCGUGCACAAGGAUGACACAAAAAUUCGUGAAGCAUUCCAUAUAAAA
This 100-nucleotide small nuclear RNA is filed under the name Peromyscus maniculatus bairdii (prairie deer mouse). The record is from RNAcentral. Lineage: Eukaryota; Metazoa; Chordata; Mammalia; Rodentia; Cricetidae.